AUUCGUUACCGGUUAUUGGGUAAGAACAACCUGCUGGGGAAAUAUCAAAUAGGAUUUACAACUACCGUUUACUGGGCAGAAGACCAAAUAGAGAAUAUUCGUCACCGGUUAAAGUGAACAUAUCAAGGAUAGACUUAGAGGAAGAAUAUCCGUCAUCGGUUAAGAUGAACAUAUCAAGGAUAGACUUCCGGAGAAAAAGUAGGACUUAUAUAUAUCAGUCACUGGAUAGAAUACCAAAGAGAGAAUAUAUGUCCCCAGUUACGAUGAACAUGAAC
RNAcentral lists this long non-coding RNA (275 nucleotides) under Lathyrus oleraceus (garden pea). Its description in RNAcentral is "Pisum sativum (pea) long non-coding RNA (PSAT_LNC020261)". Lineage: Eukaryota; Viridiplantae; Streptophyta; Magnoliopsida; Fabales; Fabaceae. The record is from RNAcentral.